Molecule: transfer RNA, 98 nt
Filed under: Actinoplanes philippinensis
Lineage: Bacteria; Bacillati; Actinomycetota; Actinomycetes; Micromonosporales; Micromonosporaceae
Description: tRNA-Asp
Source: RNAcentral
UUCCGCUGGAGCCGCGCUGCCACCGGCCGGCCGCUGUCGCCGUCCGAGGAGGGGGCGUCGGCGGCCGGCGGGAUCAGUUCGGCGGCGAUCAGCGGGAA